GUCUUUUUAGUAUAAAAAGUAUAUUUGGCUUCCAACCAGAAAGUCUAGAACAAUCUAGAAAAGACA
Molecule: transfer RNA, 66 nt
Filed under: Squilla empusa
Lineage: Eukaryota; Metazoa; Arthropoda; Malacostraca; Stomatopoda; Squillidae
Description: tRNA-Gly
Source: RNAcentral